GGGACCGUGGGGUAACCUGGUAACCUUCGAGCCUUGGGUGCUCGUGCUCUUAGUUCAAAUCUGAGCGGUCCCA
This 73-nucleotide transfer RNA is filed under the name Halorarum salinum. RNAcentral describes it as "Halobonum sp. NJ-3-1 tRNA-Pro". Lineage: Archaea; Methanobacteriati; Methanobacteriota; Halobacteria; Halobacteriales; Haloferacaceae. The record is from RNAcentral.